GGCGGCGUUAGCUAACUUCUUAAAAGCUUUAUAUUUUAGAAGGUGGAAGACCUGGAUGCUUCAUACUCUGUAUAUAGAUGCCUUAUGUUACAAAGUUUCCGUCUGUUACAUGUCCAUUGUCCUUGACCUCAUUUUCAUGGUUCAGUGACUACUUGAAAAAAAAGUUGUGAUUUUUUGUAAUGUUAAUUUCUCUCUUAUUAUAAGUAAUAGGAUAACUAUAUUUGGUAUGUGCAUACCUAUCAAGGUCCUCAUGCCCGUCAGACAGUUUUCACUUGACCUCAACCUUAUUUCAUGGAUCAGUGAACAAGGUUAAGUUUUGGUGGUCAAGUCCAUAUCUCAGAUACUAUAAGCAAUAGGUCUAGUAUAUUUGGUGUAUGGAAGGAUUGUAAGGUGUACAUGUUCAACUGGAAGGUUUCAUCUGACCUUGACCUCAUUUUCAUGGUUCAGUGGUAAUAGUUAAGUUUUUGUGUUUUGGUCCGUUUUUCUUAUACUUUAUGCAAUAGGUCUACUAUAUUUGGUGUAUGGAAUGAUUGUAAGGUGUACAUGUCUAGCGGGCAGGUGUCAUCUGACCUUGACCUCAUUUUCAUGGUUCAGUGGUUAUAGUUAAGUUUUUGUGUUUUGGUCUGUUUAUCUUAUACUGUAUGCCAUAGGUCUACUAUAUUUGGUGUAUGGAAUGAUUGUAAGGUGUACAUGUCUAGCUGGUAGGUGUCUUCUGACCUUGACCUCAUUUUCAUGGUUCAGUGGUCAAAGUUAAGUUUUUGAGUUUUGGUCUUUUUUUCUAAUACUAUAUGCAAUAGGUCAUCUAUAUUUGGUGUAUGGAAAUAUUUUAUGAUGUACCUGUCAGUCUUGCAGGUUUUAUUUGACCUUGACCUCAUUUUCACGGUUCAUUGCUCAGUGUUAAGUUUUUGUGUUUUGGUCUGUUUUUCUAAUACUAUAAGCAAUAGGUCAACUAUAUUUGUUGUAUGGAAGGAUUGCAAGCUGUAGUACAUGUCUGCCUGGCAUUGUUCAUCUGACCUUGACCUCAUUUUCUUGGUUCAUUGGUCAAUGUUUAGUUUUCUUGGUUAAGUCUGUAUCUUAGAAACUAUAAACAAUAGGUCAACUAUAUUUAGUGUAUUGAAUGAUUGUAAGGUGUACAUGUAUUUCUUGUUUGGUUUAUAUGACCUUGACCUCAUUUUCUUGGAUCAUGUUAAGUGUAUGUGAUAGUUGUAGUAAAGCUUUAUAUUUAGGACUAUCAACAUAAUAUCAAUGAUUAGUAAAGAAGGCGAGACAUUUCAGCGUGUGCACAC
Mytilus californianus (California mussel) is the source of this 1286-nucleotide long non-coding RNA. RefSeq lists it as uncharacterized. Lineage: Eukaryota; Metazoa; Mollusca; Bivalvia; Mytilida; Mytilidae. The record is from RefSeq and is a predicted model, not a curated record. The transcript has 3 exons.